GAAUAUGAUGAUAUGUUUUGUCGCCCCAGUCUUAAUCUGCUUCCUUUACCAUGGAUGCAAUGUGGUGAUUGACAUUUUUUCUCCUGAUUC
RNAcentral lists this small nucleolar RNA (90 nucleotides) under Genlisea aurea. RNAcentral's name for it is "Small nucleolar RNA U31b". It matches the Rfam family "Small nucleolar RNA U31b". The record is from Rfam by way of RNAcentral. Lineage: Eukaryota; Viridiplantae; Streptophyta; Magnoliopsida; Lamiales; Lentibulariaceae.